ACAGCUUCCGGCGUGACGCAGUAGAAAAGGUGGCGUGGCUGGCGAUUCGUGCUCGUGAGGGCUUUUUCUGUCUCCCUCUCCUUUUUUCGGUCUCCCUCUCCUUUUUUCGGUCUCCCUCUGUUGCCAAAGCUGGACUGUACUGCCGUGAUCUCGGCUCGCUGCAACCUCCCUGCCUCGGGCUCCUGUGAUUCUCCUGCCUCGGCCUGCCAAGUGCCUGGGAUUGCAGGCGCGCGCCGCCACGCCUGACUGGUUUUUGUAUUUUUGGUGGAGACGGGGUUUCGCCGUGUUGACCGGGCUGGUCUCCAGCUCCUGGCCUCCAGUGAUCUGCCCGCCUCGGCCUCCCGAGGUGCUGGGAUUGCAGACGGAGUCUCGCUCACUCAGUGCUCAAUGUUGCUCAGGCUGGAGUGCAGUGGCAUGAUCUCGGCUCGCUACAACCUCCACCGCCCAGCCGCCUGCCUUGGCCUUCUAAAGUGCUAAGAUUACAGCCUCUGCCCCGCCGCCACCCCGUCUAGGAAGUGAGGAGCGUCUCUGCCUGGCCGCCCAUCUUCUGGGAUGUGAGGAGCCCCUCUGCCCAGCCGCCCCAUCUGGGAAGUGAGGAGCACCUCUGCCCGGCCGCCAUCCCAUAUAGGAAGUGAGGAGCGUCUCUGCCUGGCCGCCCAUCGUCUGGGAUGUGAGGAGCACCUCUGCCCGGUCGCCCCGUCUGGGAGGUGAGGAGCACCUCUGCCCGGCUGCCCCAUCUGGGAGGUGAGGAGCACCUCUGCCCGGCCGCCCGGUCUGGGAGGAAGUGAGGAGCACCUCUGCCCGGCCGCCCCAUCUGGUAGGUGAGGAGCACCUCUGCCCGGCCGCCACUCCGUCUGGGAGGAAGUGAGGAGCACCUCUGCCCGGCCGCCCCGUCUGGGAGAUGAGGAGCACUUCUGCCUGGCCGCCACCCUGUCUGGGAGGAAGUGAGGAGCACCUCUGCCCGGCCGCCCCAUCUGCAAAGUGAGGAGCGCCUCUGCCCGGCCGCCCUGUCUGGGAGGUGAGGAGCGCCUCUGCCCGGCCGCCCAUCGUCUGGGAAGUGAGGAGCGCCUCUGCCCGGCCGCCCGGUCUGGGAGGUGAGGAGCGCCUCUGCCCGGCCGCCCCGUCUGGGAGGUGAGGAGUGCCUCUGCCCGGCCGCCCCGUCUGGGAUGUGAGGAGCGCCUCUGCCCGGCCGCCCUGUCUGGGCGGAGAAAUUCUUCUGCCUUCGGAUGCUGUUGAUCUAUGGCCUUUCCCCCAGCCCCAUGCUUUCUGAAACAUGUGCUGUGUCAACUCAGGGUUAAAUGGAUUAAGGGGGCGCAAGAUGUGCUUUGUUAAACAGAUGCUUGAAGGCAGCAUGCUCUUUAAGAGCCGUCACCACUCCCUAAUCCCAAGUACCCAGGGACACAAACACUGCAGAAGGCCGCAGGGACCUCUGCCUAGGAAAACCAGAGACCUUUGUUCAUGCGUUUAACUCCUGACCUUCUCUCCACUAUUAUCCUAUGACCCUCCCAUAUCCCCCUCUCCGAGAAACACCCAAGAAUCAUCAAUAAAUACUCAAUUAAAAAAAAAAAUGAGCUGUAACACUCACCGCGAAGGUCUGCAGCUUCACUCCUGAGCCAGUGAGACCACGAACCCACCAGAAGGAAGAAACUCCGAACACAUCCGAACAUCAGAAGGAACAAACUCCAGACGUGCAGCCUGAAGAGCUGUAACACUCACCGUGAGGGUCCGCAGCUUCAUUCUUAAAGUCAGUGAGACCAAGAACCCACCAAUUCCGGACACACCAGGAGGUGGAUGUUGCCUGUGCACUCUAACCUGGGAUGAUGCCACUGCACUCUAACCUGGGUGACAAAGCGACACUCAGUCUCAAAAAUAAAUAAAUAAAUAAAUUUUAAAAAAAAA
This is a long non-coding RNA of Pongo pygmaeus (Bornean orangutan), 1899 nucleotides long. RefSeq lists it as uncharacterized. The record is from RefSeq and is a predicted model, not a curated record. The transcript is spliced from 2 exons. Lineage: Eukaryota; Metazoa; Chordata; Mammalia; Primates; Hominidae.